RNAcentral lists this ribosomal RNA (814 nucleotides) under uncultured Bacillota bacterium. RNAcentral describes it as "bacterial SSU rRNA". It matches the Rfam family "Bacterial small subunit ribosomal RNA", at positions 58 to 870 of the family's 1533-position model. Lineage: Bacteria; Bacillati; Bacillota. The record is from RNAcentral.
CAAGUCGAGCGAGGCGUCCCGCAAGGGACAGUCGAGCGGCGAACGGGUGAGUAACGCGUGGAUGACCUGCCCUUUAGUGGGGAAUAACCCGGGGAAACUCGGGCUAAUACCGCAUACGACCGAGAGGUGAAAGCGGGGUCGCAAGAUCUCGUGCUGAAGGAGGGGUCCGCGUUCGAUUAGCUAGUUGGUAGGGUAAAGGCCUACCAAGGCGACGAUCGAUAGCCGGCCUGAGAGGGUGAUCGGCCACACUGGAACUGAGACACGGUCCAGACUCCUACGGGAGGCAGCAGUGGGGAAUUUUGCGCAAUGGGCUAACGCCUGACGCAGCAACGCCGCGUGGAGGAUGAAGGUCUUUGGAUUGUAAACUCCUGUCAGCAGGGAAAAAGCGAGGGGGCCUAAUACGCUCUUGAGUUGAUUGUACCUGCAGAGGAAGCCCCGGCUAACUCUGUGCCAGCAGCCGCGGUAAUACAGAGGGGGCAAGCGUUAUUCGGAAUUAUUGGGCGUAAAGGGCGCGUAGGCGGCUUUGCAAGUGACGGGUGAAAUCCCUCGGCUUAACCGAGGAACUGCCUGUCAGACUGUGAGGCUUGAGACCGGGAGAGGUGAGUGGAAUUCCCAGUGUAGCGGUGAAAUGCGUAGAUAUUGGGAGGAACACCAGUGGCGAAGGCGGCUCACUGGACCGGAACUGACGCUGAGGCGCGAAAGCGUGGGGAGCAAACAGGAUUAGAUACCCUGGUAGUCCACGCCGUAAACGAUGAGUGCUUGGUGUAGCGGGUAUCGACCCCUGCUGUGCCGAAGUCAACACAUUAAGCACUCC